UUAAUCUUCAGGAACAAAUAUAAAAUUUAGAUGUUCGAUGUUAGUAUUUUCUAUAAUCUAAAUCUCAAGUCAUAAGCUGUAAAGGAGGAUGCUUUAGAGAAGAUCUGUACUAGCAAAAUCUUAGGGGAUCCAAGACCAUGUUGCACUCAUUCCCACUUGGUAAGGCUUCACUUGUGACAUCCAUACCAAAAUCCUUUUCCACUAUUUUUAUUGUAAAUGUGCUUUUCUUGGAUUGUUUCAAUUUCCUUCACACAUCUCACUGGAGCUUUACUAGAAGAACAAAUUUGAUAUAUUGGUUCCUUAUCUUGUUAACAAGAUAUCAGGUUACAGGUUUGAGAAGCAU
RNAcentral lists this long non-coding RNA (343 nucleotides) under Carica papaya (papaya). RNAcentral's name for it is "long non-coding RNA (CPAP_LNC006634)". The record is from RNAcentral. Lineage: Eukaryota; Viridiplantae; Streptophyta; Magnoliopsida; Brassicales; Caricaceae.